Molecule: ribosomal RNA, 519 nt
Filed under: uncultured eukaryote
Lineage: Eukaryota
Description: bacterial SSU rRNA
Rfam family: Eukaryotic small subunit ribosomal RNA
Source: RNAcentral
AGGGCACCACCAGGAGUGGAGCCUGCGGCUUAAUUUGACUCAACACGGGAAAACUCACCCGGCCCGGACACUGGAAGGAUUGACAGAUUGAGAGCUCUUUCUUGAUUCAGUGGGUGGUGGUGCAUGGCCGUUCUUAGUUGGUGGAGUGAUUUGUCUGGUUAAUUCCGAUAACGAACGAGACUCUAGCCUACUAAAUAGUCGCGGGCGUUCUCGUACCGCCCGUCGGCUUCUUAGAGGGACAGGCGGCGUCUUAGCCGCAUGAGAAAGAGCAAUAACAGGUCUGUGAUGCCCUUAGAUGUCCGGGGCUGCACGCGCGCUACACUGAAGUAAUCAUCGCGCAUGCACCCGCCUACCCCGAAAGGGGCGGGAAACCGAGUGAACCUUUUUCGUGUCUGGGAUUGGGAUUUGUUAUUUUCUUCCCUGAACAAGAAAUUCCCAGUAGAGCACUGCUCAUGGCUCUUGUGGUUGAUUAUGUCUCCGCUCUGUGUACACCACACCCCUCACUACUCCCGAUUGGAU